This 316-nucleotide long non-coding RNA is filed under the name Vitis vinifera (wine grape). RNAcentral's name for it is "long non-coding RNA (VVIN_LNC006047)". Lineage: Eukaryota; Viridiplantae; Streptophyta; Magnoliopsida; Vitales; Vitaceae. The record is from RNAcentral.
CCCAACAGCGACGUGCCAACCUCGAUGUCAAAGGAAUCGUAACGCAGGAACAGCUCCACCACAAAUAGCCUGGCGGCCAGCACCACGAAGUCUUUACCUGCGCACUGCUUAUUCCCCAAGGUUGGAUUCUCGGUUUCAGGUCCGUUUGACCAGAGCACGUGCUUCAGCAGCUUCUCACCCUCACCCACGAACCGAUCCGGCACGAACUCUUCGGAUCGUUCGAAGAUUUUCGGGUCUUUGGUGGCGAACGGUUGGUACCCGAACAACAUUUCACCUUCUUUGACUUCAAAAACAGAGUCGUGGCUUUCGAUCACCA